CUACCAUGCAAGUCGAGCGGGAUAUACCGGUUUAGUUUACUAAGCUGGUAAAUUCAGCGGCGGACGGGUGAGUAACGCGUGAGCAAUCUGCCUUGUACAGGGGGAUAACAGCCGGAAACGGCUGCUAAUACCGCAUAAGGCCACAGUACCGCAUGGUACAGGGGUCAAAGGAGAGAUCCGGUAUAAGAUGAGCUCGCGUUCCAUUAGCUGGUUGGUGAGGUAACGGCCCACCAAGGCAACGAUGGGUAGCCGGCCUGAGAGGGUGAACGGCCACAUUGGGACUGAGACACGGCCCAAACUCCUACGGGAGGCAGCAGUGGGGGAUAUUGCGCAAUGGGGGAAACCCUGACGCAGCAACGCCGCGUGAGUGAAGGAGGCCUUCGGGUCGUAAAACUCUGUGACAGGGGAAGAAGAAAGUGACGGUACCCUGAGAGGAAGCCCCGGCUAACUACGUGCCAGCAGCCGCGGUAACACGUAGGGGGCAAGCGUUGUCCGGAAUUACUGGGCGUAAAGGGUGCGUAGGCGGCCGAGCAAGUCCGAUGUGAAAGACCACGGCUAAACUGUGGGGGUGCAUAGGAAACUGUCCGGCUUGAGUGCAGGAGAGGAAAGUGGAAUUCCUAGUGUAGCGGUGAAAUGCGUAGAGAUUAGGAAGAACACCAGUGGCGAAGGCGACUUUCUGGACUGUAACUGACGCUGAGGCACGAAAGCGUGGGGAGCGAACAGGAUUAGAUACCCUGGU
RNAcentral lists this ribosomal RNA (739 nucleotides) under uncultured bacterium. RNAcentral describes it as "bacterial SSU rRNA". It matches the Rfam family "Bacterial small subunit ribosomal RNA", at positions 49 to 791 of the family's 1533-position model. The record is from RNAcentral.